AGUGAACGCUGGCGGUAGGCCUAACACAUGCAAGUCGAACGGCAGCACAGUAAGAGCUUGCUCUUACGGGUGGCGAGUGGCGGACGGGUGAGGAAUACAUCGGAAUCUACUUUUUCGUGGGGGAUAACGUAGGGAAACUUACGCUAAUACCGCAUACGACCUACGGGUGAAAGCAGGGGAUCUUCGUACCUUGCGCGAUUGAAUGAGACGAUGUCGGCUUAGCUAGUUGGCGGGGUAAAGGCCCACCAAGGCGACGAUCCGUAGCUGGUCUGAGAGGAUGAGCAGCCACACUGGAACUGAGACACGGUCCAGACUCCUACGGGAGGCAGCAGUGGGGAAUAUUGGACAAUGGGCGCAAGCCUGAUCCAGCCAUACCGCGUGGGUGAAGAAGGCCUUCGGGUUGUAAAGCCCUUUUGUUGGGAAAGAAAAGCAGCAGGUUAAUACCCCGCUGUUCUGACGGUACCCAAAGAAUAAGCACCGGCUAACUUCGUG
This 492-nucleotide ribosomal RNA is filed under the name uncultured bacterium. RNAcentral describes it as "partial 16S ribosomal RNA". It matches the Rfam family "Bacterial small subunit ribosomal RNA", at positions 29 to 507 of the family's 1533-position model. The record is from RNAcentral.